UUAUAUGAAGCCCCAGUCUGUGACAUAUGGGAGGGAGCCGUAACGAUUGUGAGGCCACCCCACCAGCAACUAGGGAGAAACACCGACGGACCACCAAAGAAGGUCCAGCAAAUUGACCGGAACCCGUUACCGAAAAAGAGAAAACAAUAGGUGGCGCAUUCAAAGUCUCAAUAAGAACAAAAAACACCAGCACCUGCACCUUGUCUAAAUUGACUCGCCAGAGCUAAAGUCGACAUUGCAGAGGCUGGAGCGUUGUAUUCUCGAUUAAAAUGAUAAAAGCACUUUUGAGCCCAAUGCCCAAAUCGGCCAUAUAUUUGGCAUUGAACUUUCGAUCUAAAACCCUUCUCACGACCACUAGUGGGGGAACGACCACCACAGACAGAUGUUUCUACCGACAAUGAUGGAAUCGUUUCCACCAGAUAAGCAUGAAACAGUACCUCCUGCUCCGCACAAUGCUGCCGACCCUCAUACUCCAACAGUACAUCAGUGAGACAUUGAAAUGGAAGAUCUUUUGACGAGAAUGAUGCGAGAGUGAGCACGGCAUCAAACUCUGAUAGCAACCUCGCAAGCACGAUCUCAACUUUCUCCGCUUCUGACAUACGAGAUCCAAAAGCCUCAAUCAGAGCACAGUGAUGGCGACGAAAAAGCAAUGAGUAGUGUUCCAAACAUCGUACGUCAUUGUGGCAUCUGUAAAACAAGAUAAAAGUGAAUGACUAAUUGUAGAAAGUAACCAUGGGGCAAGCAACUUAUACUAUUGAACGAAUGAUGAGGCCUCUGAAUUCGGAACCAAAGAGCCCUCCAGAGACGGUACAAAAGGCGGUGGAGUAGUGUCAUGGUGAGGAAAAUAUUUUAUUAACCAAGCACUAAUGAACAUUGAACAACUGUGAUCAGCAGAAGCAGAGGUAGCCAUGGAAACAAACAAAAAGAAGAGCAAAUCUCCAGAAUCUAGGCGAUUGAUACCAUGUUAGUAUCCAUGGAAAACUUAGUAGAAAUAGAAUGAAUAUGCUGAGAAUUUACUAGUAUUGUUAUUAUUUUUCAUCUGUACACCAAUAGUAUUUAUAUAUAAUUUGUGCAUGAGUAAUUGCUACUAACAA
This is a long non-coding RNA of Gossypium arboreum, 1094 nucleotides long. RefSeq lists it as uncharacterized. The transcript has 3 exons. Lineage: Eukaryota; Viridiplantae; Streptophyta; Magnoliopsida; Malvales; Malvaceae. The record is from RefSeq and is a predicted model, not a curated record.